Molecule: unclassified non-coding RNA, 329 nt
Filed under: soil metagenome
Description: partial contains 5.8S ribosomal RNA, internal transcribed spacer 2, and large subunit ribosomal RNA
Rfam family: 5.8S ribosomal RNA (bases 1-120)
Source: RNAcentral
GAUGAAGAACGCAGCGAAAUGCGAUAAGUAAUGUGAAUUGCAGAAUUCAGUGAAUCAUCGAAUCUUUGAACGCACAUUGCGCCCCUUGGUAUUCCGAGGGGCAUGCCUGUUCGAGCGUCAUUAUAACCCCUCAAGCUCAGCUUGGUGUUGGGGCCUGCUGCACUGGCAGCCCUUAAAAUCAGUGGCGGCGCCAUCUGGCUCUAAGCGUAGUAAUUCUUCUCGCUAUGGAGUCCUGGUGGAUGCUUGCCAUCAACCCCCAAUUUUUCUAUGGUUGACCUCGGAUCAGGUAGGGAUACCCGCUGAACUUAAGCAUAUCAAUAAGCGGAGUA